RNAcentral lists this ribosomal RNA (460 nucleotides) under uncultured bacterium. RNAcentral's name for it is "partial 16S ribosomal RNA". It matches the Rfam family "Bacterial small subunit ribosomal RNA", at positions 338 to 795 of the family's 1533-position model. The record is from RNAcentral.
CCUACGGGAGGCAGCAGUGAGGAAUAUUGGUCAAUGGACGAGAGUCUGAACCAGCCAAGUAGCGUGAAGGAUGACUGCCCUAUGGGUUGUAAACUUCUUUUAUAUGGGAAUAAAAUGUUCCACGUGUGGGAUUUUGUAUGUACCAUAUGAAUAAGGAUCGGCUAACUCCGUGCCAGCAGCCGCGGUAAUACGGAGGAUCCGAGCGUUAUCCGGAUUUAUUGGGUUUAAAGGGAGCGUAGGUGGAUGGUUAAGUUAGUUGUGAAAGUUUGCGGCUCAACCGUAAAAUUGCAGUUGAAACUGGCAGUCGUGAGUACAGUAGAGGUAGGCGGAAUGCGUGGUGUAGCGGUGAAAUGCUUAGAUAUCACGAAGAACUCCGAUUGCGAAGGCAGCUCACUGAACUGCAACUGACACUGAGGCUCGAAAGUGUGGGUAUCAAACAGGAUUAGAUACCCGAGUAGUC